This 117-nucleotide ribosomal RNA is filed under the name Echinops telfairi (small Madagascar hedgehog). The record is from RNAcentral. Lineage: Eukaryota; Metazoa; Chordata; Mammalia; Afrosoricida; Tenrecidae.
GUCUAUGGCCACACUACCCUGAACAUACCUGAUCUCAUCAGCUAGGCAGGAUAAGACUUGGUUAAAUUAAAUGUGUUUCUAUGUGUGAAGCACACAGAAGAGUGAAGGGCAUAGGUC